GAUGAACGCUAGCUACAGGCUUAACACAUGCAAGUCGAGGGGAAACGACAUCGAAAGCUUGCUUUUGAUGGGCGUCGACCGGCGCACGGGGGAGUAACGCGUAUCCAACCUGCCCAUCACUUGGGAAUAACCUUGCGAAAGUAAGACUAAUACCCAAUGAUAUCCCACGAAGGCAUCGGAAUGGGAUUAAAGAUUUAUCGGUGAUGGAUGGGGAUGCGUCUGAUUAGCUUGUUGGCGGGGUAACGGCCCACCAAGGCAACGAUCAGUAGGGGUUCUGAGAGGAAGGUCCCCCACAUUGGAACUGAGACACGGUCCAAACUACUACGGGAGGCAGCAGUGAGGAAUAUUGGUCAAUGGGCGAGAGCCUGAACCAGCCAAGUAGCGUGCAGGAAGACGGCCCUAUGGGUUGUAAACUGCUUUUAUAAGGGAAUAAAGUGGGUCACGUGUGACUUUUUGCAUGUACCUUAUGAAUAAGGACCGGCUAAUUCCGUG
This 492-nucleotide ribosomal RNA is filed under the name uncultured bacterium. RNAcentral's name for it is "partial 16S ribosomal RNA". It matches the Rfam family "Bacterial small subunit ribosomal RNA", at positions 28 to 507 of the family's 1533-position model. The record is from RNAcentral.